GUCGAGCGCGCCUUCGGGUGAGCGGCGGACGGGUUAGUAACGCGUGGGAACGUACCCUUCUCUACGGAAUAGCCUCUGGAAACGGAGAGUAAUACCGUAUACGCCCUUUGGGGGAAAGAUUUAUCGGAGAAGGAUCGGCCCGCGUUAGAUUAGGUAGUUGGUGGGGUAACGGCCUACCAAGCCUACGAUCUAUAGCUGGUUUUAGAGGAUGAUCAGCAACACUGGGACUGAGACACGGCCCAGACUCCUACGGGAGGCAGCAGUGGGGAAUCUUAGACAAUGGGGGCAACCCUGAUCUAGCCAUGCCGCGUGAGUGAUGAAGGCCUUAGGGUUGUAAAGCACUUUCACUGGUGAAGAUGAUGACGGUAACCAGAGAAGAAGCCCCGGCUAACUUCGUGCCAGCAGCCGCGGUAAUACGAAGGGGGCAAGCGUUGUUCGGAAUUACUGGGCGUAAAGGGCGCGUACGCGGUCUUUUAAGUUAGGCGUGAAAUCCCCGGGCUCAACCUGGGAACUGCGCUUAAGACUGGAAGACUAGAAAACGGAAGAGGGUAGUGGAAUUCCCAGUGUAGAGGUGAAUUCGUAGAUUUGGGAGAACACAGUGGGAAAGCGGUACUGGUCCGAUUUGACGCUGAGCGCAAACUGGGAGCAAAAGGAU
Molecule: ribosomal RNA, 655 nt
Filed under: uncultured Alphaproteobacteria bacterium
Lineage: Bacteria; Pseudomonadati; Pseudomonadota; Alphaproteobacteria
Description: bacterial SSU rRNA
Rfam family: Bacterial small subunit ribosomal RNA
Source: RNAcentral